This 310-nucleotide long non-coding RNA is filed under the name Bos taurus (domestic cattle). RNAcentral describes it as "long non-coding RNA NONBTAT019329". Lineage: Eukaryota; Metazoa; Chordata; Mammalia; Artiodactyla; Bovidae. The record is from RNAcentral.
CAAUAGAACAUUCUUGUUUCUAGGUUGAAAAUUUAUGAGAGGCCGAGACUCUGUAUUCUAAAUCUUAUCCUUUCCUUCACAUGGAUAGCUUUUUUAGACAUGGUCGCUCAAUAAAAUAUUACAAAAUUACUAGAAAUGCCCAUUUCUGUGUUUAUCACCAAUAAUCAUAUUAAUUCUUCAGAAGGCCUCUUGAGGAAUAGGGAGGAGAACAUUUUUCUGGGAAAGGGUGGGGAACAUGCCAGGAAUUAGGCUAGAUUUUCCAGGGAGAAAGUAUGAAAACUUAAUAGAAUCAGACAGUGGCAAUUAAUGA